AAUUUGUAAUGAUGUUAUUUAUCUACAUUUGAACAGAUAUAUCAGAGAACUAUGAUGAUGCUAUUAUUACUGGAAUAACCCCAACUAUAAUAGCAGUAGACACAUCAGAGGAUUAUGAUGACGUCAUCGCUGCUGGACAAGAUGCAGAAGAUUAUGAUGACGUGGAAGAGCUGCCGAAAAACUGACCAUUGCCGCCAAAUGCCUUUACUGAGGAAAUUUCUUAACUCAGAAAUCAAUAUCUAAAUCAAAUAACAAGCUCUCAAUUCACAUGAUAUUACACUUCUUGAGCAUUGUGCUUUUGAGCUUCAUACAUUUUGAAAUAUUGUAUCUAUGGAGGAAAACCUUCACUGUUGUUUAGUUGAAUGUCACUAAAUUUAAUUUCUAUUACCUUUAAAAAAUCCAGUUACUUAAAAUCUUCACAUGGUUCCACUGAAUAAUGUUAUUUAUAGAGAAAAAUUUACACAGCUCAUGUUUGUAGCGGGUUAUCCUACUGAAACCUGAUUUUAUGUUUUGAUGAUGAUGGUUGUGAUCAUCAUGAUCACUCCAAAAUCUCUCACAGUUGGUCAUUUUAAUUGAGUUCUGUUGACUGUGAAGGCCAUAACAUAUGAUUAGCAUGAUUAUCAAACCAUGCAGUGAACCACCAAGCACUGUGGAUGGGGAAGGACCACUCUGAUUAGGAGGAAAAUGUUCAUGCAGUAAAGGUCAGUCAGAAGAUCUUUGUGCUGCAUAACCAAACCAUGGCAGAAAAAAUUCAAUAUGUGCUACCUUACUGUAUAACUAAUCCUUUAAUUUAUCACCCAUCUGUACUCACUGGCCUGCAAGUUUAUGUGCUAAUCGUCUGGUCAUCUUCCACUCUUGAAAUCCUCAGAUUCUUGUUUUUUUCUGCAUUCUUUAGCAUCAUUCAUCACUCUAGAGAUUGUUGUGUGUGAAAAUCCCAGGAGAUUAGCAGUUUCUGAAAUCCUUAAACCAGCCCUAAAUCUGGCACUUGGUUGAAGUAACAAAAUCUAAUUUUUUCCCCCAUUCUGGUGUUUGAUGUGAACAUUGCCUGAAGCUCUUGACCCUAUUCUGCAUGAUUUUAUGCAUUAUGCUGCUGUAACAUGAUUGAAUGUUUGGAUAUCUGCAUAAAUGAGCAGAUGCACACGUGUUUCUAUUAAAGUGGAUGGUGAUUGUAUAAAUAAAAUCCACAUCAUUUUGAUGUUUUUCUAUAAUACAUGUACACAUUUUAACCACCAGAUGGAACCGUAUAACUUCUCAGCAAAUAGCUCUGGUGAAGUUUUCUGAUGAAUCUAUGUCAGACAUGAGCCGAAUGUAUUUUAUUCUUGUUUAUUAAUGUGUGUAAUUUUCCCCAUAUGCUCAUUUAGUGUAUGGGAACAUUUUUACUGCUUAACCAAAAACAAUAAAACAUUUGAUAA
This is a long non-coding RNA of Hemibagrus wyckioides, 1412 nucleotides long. RefSeq lists it as uncharacterized. The transcript has 3 exons. Lineage: Eukaryota; Metazoa; Chordata; Actinopteri; Siluriformes; Bagridae. The record is from RefSeq and is a predicted model, not a curated record.